UUUGUACUCCCUCCGUCCCAAAAUUUUUGUCUUAAAUUUGUCUAAAUACGGAUGUAUAUAGUUUUAGUGUUAGAUACAUCCGUAUCUAAACAAAUGUGAGAAAAGAAUUUUGGGACGGAGGCAAUACUAC
Molecule: non-coding RNA, 130 nt
Organism: Triticum aestivum (bread wheat)
Lineage: Eukaryota; Viridiplantae; Streptophyta; Magnoliopsida; Poales; Poaceae
Source: Rfam